Molecule: transfer RNA, 76 nt
Filed under: Acidobacteriota bacterium
Lineage: Bacteria; Pseudomonadati; Acidobacteriota
Description: Acidobacteria bacterium tRNA-Gly
Rfam family: tRNA
About the family: Transfer RNA (tRNA) molecules are approximately 80 nucleotides in length. Their secondary structure includes four short double-helical elements and three loops (D, anti-codon, and T loops).
Source: RNAcentral
GCGGGCGUAUCUCAGUUGGCAGAGUACGAGCUUCCCAAGCUCGGUGUCGCGGGUUCGAACCCCGUCGCCCGCUCCA